AGUUGUUGUGAUUGAUAUUUUCAAUUUCCUUUUCUUUCUUUUCAACCUCCUAAUUAAUUAAUUUGCUUAUAAAUAUUUAAAUACUAAUUUCUUGAUCGAGAGAAAUCAAAAGUAUAUAUUUCUCACCAGUUCUUCUUCUUCUAAACCCUAAAACCAAAACUAAGUCAAUCUCCUUUGUUCAUUCUAUGAUUCAUCUUCCAUGAAAAAGUUUCUACCUUUAGCUUUCCUCUCGAUCGAUUUGUUGUUGUGACUUGUGAGACACGGUUUCUAUGAUCUAGGGUGAGAUAUGAAGCAGAGCGAUCAAACGGUGCUGAGGCUUGAGAACUUGUGGCGGUCGAGGGUUUUUGGUUCUUCUUCUUCUUAGUCGUCUCUCUCUCUCUUUUGGUUCUUCUUCAUGGUGGUGCUCUUGCCUCUUGCUUCCUCUUUCCCUUUCAAGGUACACUGCUAUGUUUCUUUUGAAUUCAUCGUAGCUGAAAAAGCUUGUACCUUUAUAGCUUUCCUCUCAUCGAUUUGUAGUUGUGACGUGUGUGAUACGGUCCGAUGAUCUAGGGUUAGAUAUGAAGCAGAGCGAUCAAACGUGGCAGUCGAAGCUUUUGGUUCCUCUUGGGAUCUUACUACCUCUCCUUCGUCUUCAUGGUGGUGCUCUUGCUUCCACUUUCUCCUUCAAGGUACACUGCUCUGUUUCUUUGGAUCUCUCUCUCUUCUUGUUCCUCUCUGACUUUGGAAUUUAUAUCUGUCUCGAUAUGGUCUUGUUGAUGUUGAUCUCUUGUGUCUUAGGUUUACUAUAUCAAUCAUCUUAAAAGAUUUGGUAUCCAUCUCCUUUUGGAACUACAAGAUUUGGUAUACUGCUUAACUGGUUUGAUUUGCGUUGUUUUAUUAAACUUAUUACUGAAUCUCAUGUUGGAUUGUGGUUGCUUCCCGACCACAUUGAAUCACUUGUCUGCAACAACUUACAGAACUCAAUCUCAUAGUCGUUAUAGCCUUAUAGGUGUCUAUGCCAUAUACGAUUGAUGCAAGCUUGUCUACUUUUUAAUUCAUCCAUCAUGAUUCACCAUAUUGUUAUUAAUCAUCUCUUUUGUUUUGUAAUGAGUGUUCAUGAUUCUCUGUUUCCUUUGUAUCUCCCUUUUUUAUAUGAUUUUGUGUAAUCCGUAUGCAGUGUUAGAAUUCCUUUUUUGCUAAUAACUACUACAAAUCCAUUGAUAUGCAGACAAGGUUUCUGACCCUUGAUAUGACUUAUGUUUGUUCUUGGUUUGAUAUUAUGUUAUACUUCUCUGUUGUUGUUUUUCUCUUGGUUUUUGAUUUUGGUUCUACUGUCUUUGCAGGUCAUUGUGAUGUUCUCUAUUAUUAUGAAGAUUUGAUCAAGAGGACUUCCUCACAGUUAUCAAAAAGAAGAAGGAUCAUGUAGCAUCAGACCAUAACUACAUUUAUAACUGAGGUAUAUGCUGCUUUACUCAUUCGAUUUGUGAGUUUCAUUGCAUUGGUUUAUUAGAUUACUAUACCGAGUUUAUGUUGCUUUCUGACCACGUAGAAUUACGUGUCUGCAACAUACAGAAAUGAAUCUCAUAGUCAUGUAUGCAUAUACGUUUGGAAUGAUGCAAUGCAAGCCAUUUUUCUCUACUUUUUAGUUCAUCAAUCAUGUUGACCUUAUGAUUCCUAUCUCUGUCUCCUUUGUAUGUUUAUAUGAUUUUGUGUAUUCAUUGUUAGAUAAUCAAGAUUUUUC
This 1720-nucleotide long non-coding RNA is filed under the name Capsella rubella. Its description in RNAcentral is "long non-coding RNA (CRUB_LNC001605)". The record is from RNAcentral. Lineage: Eukaryota; Viridiplantae; Streptophyta; Magnoliopsida; Brassicales; Brassicaceae.